RNAcentral lists this ribosomal RNA (712 nucleotides) under uncultured soil bacterium. RNAcentral describes it as "bacterial SSU rRNA". It matches the Rfam family "Bacterial small subunit ribosomal RNA", at positions 37 to 771 of the family's 1533-position model. The record is from RNAcentral.
UGGCGGAAUGCUUUACACAUGCAAGUCGAGCGGCAGCGCGGGGCAACCUGGCGGCGAGCGGCGAACGGGUGAGUAAUAUAUCGGAACGUGUCCUGUAAUGGGGGAUAGCCCGGCGAAAGCCGGAUUAAUACCGCAUACGAUCUACGGAUGAAAGUGGGGGACCGCAAGGCCUCACGUUAUAGGAGCGGCCGAUAUUCGAUUAGCUUGUUGGUGAGGUAAAGGCUCACCAAGGCUACGAUCGAUAGCUGGUCUGAGAGGAUGAUCAGCCUGACUGGAACUGAGAACGGUCCAGACUCCUACGGGAGGCAGCAGUAGGGAAUUUUCCGCAAUGGGCGAAAGCCUGACGGAGCAACGCCGCGUGCAGGAGGAAGGCCCUAGGGUCGUAAACUGCUUUUAUCUGCGACGAUUUUGACGGUAGCAGAAGAAUAAGGAUCGGCUAAUUCCGUGCCAGCAGCCGCGGUCAUACGGAAGAUCCGAGCGUUAUCCGGAAUUACUGGGCGUAAAGAGUUGCGUAGGUGGCAUAGUAAGCGAGCAGUGAAAGACUCCGGCUCAACCGGAGGUACAUUGUUCGAACUACUAAGCUAGAACAUAGUAGAGGUACCUGGAAUUCCAAGUGUAGGAGUGAAAUCCGUAGAUAUUUGGAGGAACACCGAUGGCGUAGGCAGGGUACUGGGCUAUUGUUGACACUAAGGCACGAAAGCGUGGGGAGCGA